RNAcentral lists this ribosomal RNA (492 nucleotides) under uncultured bacterium. Its description in RNAcentral is "partial 16S ribosomal RNA". It matches the Rfam family "Bacterial small subunit ribosomal RNA", at positions 29 to 507 of the family's 1533-position model. The record is from RNAcentral.
AGUGAACGCUGGCGGUAGGCCUAACACAUGCAAGUCGAACGGCAGCACAGUAAGAGCUUGCUCUUACGGGUGGCGAGUGGCGGACGGGUGAGGAAUACAUCUGAAUCUACUUUUUCGUGGGGGAUAACGUAGGGAAACUUACGCUAAUACCGCAUACGACCUACGGGUGAAAGCAGGGGAUCUUCGGACCUUGCGCGAUUGAAUGAGCCGAUGUCGGAUUAGCUAGUUGGCGGGGUAAAGGCCCACCAAGGCGACGAUCCGUAGCUGGUCUGAGAGGAUGAUCAGCCACACUGGAACUGAGACACGGUCCAGACUCCUACGGGAGGCAGCAGUGGGGAAUAUUGGACAAUGGGCGCAAGCCUGAUCCAGCCAUACCGCGUGGGUGAAGAAGGCCUUCGGGUCGUAAAGCCCUUUUGUUGGGAAAGAAAAGCAGCAGGUUAAUACCCCGCUGUUCUGACGGUACCCAAAGAAUAAGCACCGGCUAACUUCGUG